AUAAUGGGUCAGCGACUUAUAUUCUGUAGCAAGGUUAACCGAAUAGGGGAGCCGAAGGGAAACCGAGUCUUAACUGGGCGUUAAGUUGCAGGGUAUAGACCCGAAACCCGGUGAUCUAGCCAUGGGCAGGUUGAAGGUUGGGUAACACUAACUGGAGGACCGAACCGACUAAUGUUGAAAAAUUAGCGGAUGACUUGUGGCUGGGGGUGAAAGGCCAAUCAAACCGGGAGAUAGCUGGUUCUCCCCGAAAGCUAUUUAGGUAGCGCCUCGUGAAUUCAUCUCCGGGGGUAGAGCACUGUUUCGGCAAGGGGGUCAUCCCGACUUACCAACCCGAUGCAAACUGCGAAUACCGGAGAAUGUUAUCACGGGAGACACACGGCGGGUGCUAACGUCCGUCGUGAAGAGGGAAACAACCCAGACCGCCAGCUAAGGUCCCAAAGUCAUGGUUAAGUGGGAAACGAUGUGGGAAGGCCCAGACAGCCAGGAUGUUGGCUUAGAAGCAGCCAUCAUUUAAAGAAAGCGUAAUAGCUCACUGGUCGAGUCGGCCUGCGCGGAAGAUGUAACGGGGCUAAACCAUGCACCGAAGCUGCGGCAGCGACGCUGAUGCGUUGUUGGGUAGGGGAGCGUUCUGUAAGCCUGCGAAGGUGUGCUGUGAGGCAUGCUGGAGGUAUCAGAAGUGCGAAUGCUGACAUAAGUAACGAUAAAGCGGGUGAAAAGCCCGCUCGC
RNAcentral lists this ribosomal RNA (726 nucleotides) under Escherichia coli. RNAcentral describes it as "partial 23S ribosomal RNA". It matches the Rfam family "Bacterial large subunit ribosomal RNA", at positions 612 to 1337 of the family's 2925-position model. The record is from RNAcentral. Lineage: Bacteria; Pseudomonadati; Pseudomonadota; Gammaproteobacteria; Enterobacterales; Enterobacteriaceae.